AAAUGAUAAAGGUAAACUACUCGAAAGAGUAGGGCGCAAAGCCGUGAACCUUCAUCCCAAAAUAAGGGGAAUAUGGUUGUCUGGCUGCCGUU
Molecule: non-coding RNA, 92 nt
Filed under: Candidatus Omnitrophota bacterium
Lineage: Bacteria; Pseudomonadati; Candidatus Omnitrophota
Description: Omnitrophica WOR c-di-GMP sequence
Rfam family: c-di-GMP-I riboswitch aptamer
About the family: GEMM was predicted in a large-scale screen for bacterial structured RNA regulatory elements. Genes associated with GEMM are involved in a diverse array of functions, including chemotaxis regulation, signal transduction, secretion and chitin.
Source: RNAcentral